CGGCGGACGGGUGAGUAACGCGUGGGUAACCUGCCUCAUACAGGGGGAUAACAGUUGGAAACGGCUGCUAAUACCGCAUAAGCGCACAGUACCGCAUGGUACCGUGUGAAAAACUCCGGUGGUAUGAGAUGGACCCGCGUCUGAUUAGGUAGUUGGUGGGGUAACGGCCUACCAAGCCGACGAUCAGUAGCCGACCUGAGAGGGUGACCGGCCACACUGGGACUGAGACACGGCCCAGACUCCUACGGGAGGCAGCAUG
This 259-nucleotide ribosomal RNA is filed under the name uncultured bacterium. RNAcentral describes it as "partial 16S ribosomal RNA". It matches the Rfam family "Bacterial small subunit ribosomal RNA", at positions 96 to 353 of the family's 1533-position model. The record is from RNAcentral.